AGGACGAACGCUGGCGGCGUGCUUAACACAUGCAAGUCGAGCGGUAAGGCUCCUUCGGGAGUACACGAGCGGCGAACGGGUGAGUAACACGUGAGCAAUCUGCCCUUCACAUUGGAAUAACUUCCGGAAACGGAAGCUAAUACCGAAUACGACCACCGAUGGCAUCUUCUGGUGGUGGAAAGUUCCGGCGGUGAAGGAUGAGCUCGCGGCCUAUCAGCUUGUUGGUGGGGUAAUGGCCUACCAAGGCGACGACGGGUAGCCGGCCUGAGAGGGUGACCGGCCACGACUGGACUGAGACACGGCCCAGACUCCUACGGGAGGCAGCAGGUGGGAAUAUUGGACAAUGGGACGAAAGCCUGAUCCGGCAACGGCCGCGUGGACGGGAUCGGACGGGCCUUUCGGGUUGUAAACCCUCGUUUACAGUCGAGGGACAAAGCGAAAGUGACGGUACUGACAAGAACGAAGCCGUAACCGG
This 475-nucleotide ribosomal RNA is filed under the name uncultured soil bacterium. RNAcentral's name for it is "bacterial SSU rRNA". It matches the Rfam family "Bacterial small subunit ribosomal RNA", at positions 26 to 504 of the family's 1533-position model. The record is from RNAcentral.